AGUAUACUUUGAGAUUUCCUCAGAGUACACGUCUAUAACUACAGAGCGAUAGUAGUGUUGGAAUCUGAGUAUAAUGGGUAACUGUUGUGAUACCCGAGUCCUACCUCAAGAAUGUACUGACACACCCUUCUCAACUGAUGACCGUCCUCGGACAAAAUCCUCACUGACCGUGGGCUCCAGAAAACGCCGGAACAUAUUUACAAUCGUAAGAAAUAUCCACCACAAGAAUCCUGUUGUUCCCAUGGAAGCUGAAGAACAUCAAGCCCCAACUUCCUCAUCUAUACAAAAACCACAAAAUGAAACAAAAGCUAAACAUGGUGACGGUACAACUUCAGAAGAGGACGAGGAAAAGUCACCACUGCGUAGGGUUAAGGUAGCUUCUAAAAGAAGCCAACAUAGGAUUCCGUUCUUGAGAAACAAGUGUCGGAGGGGCAGUCUCCUCCCAAUGGAUGCUCAAGAAUGUGACUUUAUAGAUACAAGUUGUGAAGGAAAACCACAAAACAACCUAGAAGUGGUAGCUGAAUGCUCUGAUGGUGCAGCUUUGCCAGUGGACAAGGGGAAAGGACCAGUGAAAAUGGCAGAGGCAACAUCGAAAAAACGAAGAUGUGUUUCUGCAAUCUUAAAGAAAUUUUCUCGAAGGCGAGUGGUGGCCCCCAUUAAACUGAGAAGACCUGUAGUCCUCCCUGGCACCUCCAAAGAAACAGCACCUGUCACAACAGAAGUGGUCCCUGAAAAUGCUGACAGUGCACCUUCAGCAAGGGGACAGAAAGAGCCACCAGUAGGGAUGGUGAAGGAGGAGACUAAAAAACGUAGACACAGUAUGUAUUAUAGAAUCUCUUAAGAUACAUUUUAGAAAGGAAUUGCAUAAACACUGGAUAUCCUUUUGUGAAGUGUAUAAUGGUGCUCUAGCUCACCUACUAGGAAGAACUUGUAUUCAAUUGUUUGUAUGACUUCUUUGUUUGUUUUGUUUGUUUGUUAGUGUUCAUUUUUUUUCUUAAGUAUUACCUUAACUUAAAAGAAAAACUGGAGGUGUUUGUCUACCAUAACUGGAUUCAAGUAUGAUCUCUCUAAGUUGUUUAAGAUGUGGUAUACUAGGCAGUGUCUAAAUCUGUUUUCCCUCAAGAUAGGUACCCUAAUUACCCAGUUCAAUCUCCAUUGACAAAGUAUUGAAGUAACAAAUUAGAGUACAGAGUUUACCUACAAAAUAUGAGUUGAAAGUUCAUCACAUGUGGUGCAUUCAUUUCUUUAUGGUGGUAGUCUAGUGAAGAAUAAGCCAGGGCACAAAGGUGAGUGAUGAGGCUCUCCAUGCAGAUCAACAGACACUUUGUGGACCAAGGACUUAGUGAUGCCUAUAUUCCCAGCAUCUUCCUUCAGUAGGUCAAAAUCACAGAGAUCCCAGACUCUGCCUUGACUACCUCAGUGGGCAGAGCCAGGACAUUGCUCUCCAUCUGCCUGCACACAUGCAUCCACAAGCAUGAGAGGUAGAAAUCCCACACACUUUUAGGCAGACCACAGAUUCUGACACUGGGAGCCCAACACUGUAUGAAGGGACAUUUUGUCACCUACAAUGACACCAAGCUGCCUUUCCAGUCUCCUCCAUUUGAGGGUCUAUCUAGGUGUGACCAGAUAAAGAAGCUGCCAUUUGCACACCUUCAUGUGAGAACGGGGUUGCACUGACGUGGAGUCUGAGUCAUCAGUGGGGCUCUGCAGGCUUUGAUGCCCUCCCGAUUCUGUUCCUCAGUGACCAGACUCAGUCACUGAGAGCCAGGUCACAGUGUGAGGAUGAUGGAGGAAGGCCCUGUUCACUGACCCAGGAAUCCCACAACUUCUUUUGGGUUGAAAGGUAGAUUAUACCUUCAGUUGUAUCUGUCAGGGAAGAUGGCCACUGAUGCAUGAAUGCAGCUAUCAUUGUAAGCUUGGGUGAAAAGUCAGAGGGCCUCACAGCUUGUUACCUCUACAUCCCACUAAGGCAAUGCCAUACAUUUCCCAUGAGAUGUAGUCGAUAAGAAUGAAGAAUAAACAAGUGUUGUACAAUGUUCUGGAAUACAUGCAUUCCUGAGUCCAGGUGCAGUUACUCCUAUGCAGCUGAGGUCUUCUGGCUUGUCACAGACAUCACAGGGCACUCCAGCAAUGCCUGUGGUUUCUCCUACAGUGUACACUAAAGAGAUUGAUCUGUUCUAGCCUAGUGAGUCUCAUGGGAAGUCCUUCUCCACCAACUAAGAAGGAAGUCUUUGUGUUGUAGUGAACAGUUGGUGGCUGAAGGCAUUGCAUGGGUGUGGCUGUGUGCUUGUGGCUCUAAGAAGGGUUAGAGUGAUGCCCAUUGGGCAGCACACUCACACAGCAUGCUCAGUCGUGUGGCUCUUCCUUCUGGGUUUCCAUAUUCAUCUAUAUGUAGGCUUUAUCUAGGAUUCCUGUGAUGUCCAUUCAAUGCCUAACUCCUUGUACAUGACAUGCAGUGAUCCUCCCGAAGCACCAGUCUCACUCUAAUGACUGUACCUGGAACAAGCUAUCAGAUCAAUGGCACAAAUACUCAGUAGUUGUUAGUUUGCUUGAGUUUUCUUCCAAGAAGCUGACAUGAUUCCCUAUUAUAACUGCAUUCUCAGUUUUUUCUAUCUUAAGAGGAAUUUGUCAUAAGACAACUGUAGUCCCUCAGGACACGCAGAGACCUCCAGUCUCUAAGGCUACAUCUACAAAAGCAACUGAAAUAAAAGCAAAAGACAUACCGGAGAAUAAUGAGACUAUGGAGUCGGUGGAAGAAAGAAAACAGAGACGCAUUUCUGCACUAUUAAAAAGAGUUGAAGAGAAGCAAGCUAUGGCCCCUCCAGAGGUUUGUGGACCACAAGUCUGUAACAUUCCUUCGCCUAAAACAAAUGUCAGGCAUGAUAAAGAGAAUGCCACUGCAGCUUCACCACUGAGCAAAGACCAUACAUCACAGUCUGUGACAAUGUUUCUUCAGUCUUUAGAAAAUUUUAUAGGACGGACUCAAGUCCCCCCCAGGCUCCGGAGAAACCUUCAGCCCUUAAAGGUGCAUCCAAAGAAACCCAACCAACUAUUAAAACAGGAAGUCAGUGUACACCUGAAAUUAAAGAAAUAUUUUGUAAAAAAGAAGAGUUUGAAUAUCAUGAUGAGGGGUCCUGGGAAGAAUACCAAAGCUGGGUUUUAGUUAAGGAGCAAGGAUCAUAGAUUUCCCACAUGGUAUCCAUGUUCCAGAUUCAAGACAAACCAUUGCUUCCACCCUGAUAGGGAGUUGUAUAGCCGAGGUGGGAGAUACAGAUAUGGAAAAAGAACAAAAUACUCUGGAUAGUACAGAGAAUUUUCCUGAAGCCAUAGAAGUCCAGCAGUGGGAAUUGAGAAAAACAUCGAACACUGUUGCUCCUGCUGUCAAUGUAUUAUUUUUAGCACCACCAACAUCUUCGGAUGACGAAGAGUAUUAUACACCCAUAAAAAGAAAGAAGAGGAGGAAAAAGAGGAGGCGCUAUUACUAAGCGAAAGCCUCCAUUAUUGCUCCAGCAGGCUGGUUCAGACCAUUCACCACUGGGGCAGGACCACCUGCUGUGCUGCUUCUCAUCUCUCUCCUUUGAUGUGACACUGCCUGCCCCCUGCCUGAGGCCACACCCGGUUCUCCAAGAUUUUCUGGAAUUAUCAGCAAACUGUGAACUUAGGAGUUUCUGCUAAAAGGCCAUUCUGACCCCUUAACAAGAAACUUGGAGUGACUGGGGGUGGGCUUCCCUCUUUAUAAAGUACAGGCAUUAUUAAACAUUUGAGCCUUGAUCAG
Molecule: long non-coding RNA, 3775 nt
Filed under: Mus musculus (house mouse)
Lineage: Eukaryota; Metazoa; Chordata; Mammalia; Rodentia; Muridae
Description: predicted gene, 29825
Source: RNAcentral